Molecule: long non-coding RNA, 688 nt
Organism: Procambarus clarkii (red swamp crayfish)
Lineage: Eukaryota; Metazoa; Arthropoda; Malacostraca; Decapoda; Cambaridae
Source: RefSeq, a predicted model, not a curated record
CUGGAGUUGUCUUGGCCUUUUGGAUCUUCUGUUCAUCUAGGAGCAUCUGUCCCACAACCUGAAACAGUUCAUAUAAAUACUAUAGAUUAGGAAGUCCAGAACAUCCUAGAGUUUGAAGGUGGUGUUUGCUCGACAUUCAGAAUCGGGUACUUUGCUAGAUUACAAUGGUAUCAAAGCAGCGAGUGGCUGUUCUACUCUGCACAUCUAUGAAGCUGGUUGUGGAGGGUGCUUCCAACAUAACUUCAGGAACAGUGUACAGAAAAAUUGGAACUUGUAUGCUACAGAAAGUAGCACAGGGGCUGGCCAGCUGAGCAGACAGCACACUGGAGAUGUGAUCCUGUGGUCCCAGGUUGAAUCCUGGCAAGAAAUGGUGGGCCGAGUUUUUCACCCUAUGCCCCUAAUAACAAUUGGGAAGUCCAGCUGUUCAUCCUAGAGUUUGAAGGUGUUGAUUGCUUGACAUUCAGAAUGGGGUGGUAAUGGAGAUUAUGAUAUCAAGGAAUUGACUGGCUUAAGAAGUGUAGCUGUUCUACUCUGCACAUCCAAUAAACUGGUGGUUGUUGUCCUUGGUACUCUGGAUGUUUUCCUGGCCUUUGAAGUUGUUUGGAGUCUUCAGUUGAAACCUCAACCUGAAACAAAUUUGUCAACAUUAGUUAUAUUGUAUACUAUUUAAUAAAUCUUUUAAUGAAAA